CCGAGUUAUACAACUCAUCAACCCUGUGAACAUACCUAUAACGUUGCCUCGGCGGGAACAGACGGCCCCGUAACACGGGCCGCCCCCGCCAGAGGACCCCCUAACUCUGUUUCUAUAAUGUUUCUUCUGAGUUAAACAAGCAAAUAAAUUA
Molecule: unclassified non-coding RNA, 151 nt
Filed under: soil metagenome
Description: partial internal transcribed spacer 1
Source: RNAcentral